GUGUCGUUUCACUGAUGGAUGGAGCCAUCAGCGGAUGGCAACAACCUUGGUGCGUUGAGCUGACGGAUGCUACAGGGCCGUAGCCUAAGUGUUCAUUGCAUUGUUAUGAACACUACUUUUCAGGGCGGCAUCUAUGGAUUUUAUGGUGGCAAACUAGAUAGUGUUGCAAUAUAUUGUUUACCUCAGUUUGAAAUGAUAAAGAAGUCUCGAGGUCAAGAAUUGUCUGCUUUAUAGAGACACAGCAUGGUGGAUUACUUGAGUCCUGGGUAAUCUGUGUAGAACACUUUUGUAAGUACAACACAUAAAGGAAACACAUGUAUAUAACUUCACACAUGUUGUAUAUUCACCUUAUUUUCCACGACAACAAGGGCGGCGCCAUUGCGCUCAUUUUGUCAACGUACUUCCGACUGCAUAUGAUGAGCAGCUGAGGCAGUGGCUGAAGGAGACGCGUUAAACUUAAAAAGCUCACUCAAGCGCCUUUAUGUUUGUUUCUUACCAAUUUUAACGGACGGGAAGCCGACUGAGGAACACCCUUAUCCCAAGUAAUGGUUCGACUACGAUGUUCCGGUAACUUUAAACCACGCUGGGUGUUGAAAACGUGAUCAGUUUCAGAUGCAUUGAUGUGUAGUGAUCCAAUGGACAACUGUGAGGAUGAUAUACAAUCAACGUGUUCCUAAACUGUGAUGCAGAAACACAAUGGGAGGAUCCAUCUGUCUCUGACCACAACUACACUUUAAAAUCACAACUCAACCUGAAGCAACAUACAUCUGAUAUGGGAAAACAAACUUGCGGUUUCCCGGACAGGGCUUAUGCUGGUCCCAGGCUAAAAUGCAUAUUUGAGCUACAAUAAUUUAAAAACACCUUGUACUGACAUACCUCAACAUAUAUGAGUGCCAUUGUUUUGUCACAAGAUUUGGUUUGUUUGUAAAAACUAAAAUUUCCUAAUAUAAUUAAGGCAUAGUCCUGUAAACCCCGUCCGAGAAACUGCUUCAAUGUGUUGAGCUGGCACAAAUGUACAUAUCUCUGCUGAGAAACAACCAUCUUUGUCAGCUUUACACAGGGUUGAUGUUGCAUGCAUUACACAGUCGCCAAGCACUUUACUAGUACAUACACCAACAGCUUCCAGAUAAACACUUGGGAUCAGCACCUGAUGACUCUGAUAAAGCUGCGUCUUAAUUCAUUGCAGGGUGGUCUUGCUGAAAAGUUAGUUGUUUCUUAGUCCAUAGUUAUUUUUAUAAACCUUUACAAUGUGACCUGAUUUUACCUGUUGUAAAGUUACAUUAAACCUUCAUACAGUAUGUGAUCAGAUGUCAUGCAGUUAUAUUACACCUUUACAAUAUGAUCAGAUAUUGUGCCGUUAUAUUAAACAUUUACAAUGUGAUCAGAUGUUACCUGUCAUGCAUUUAUUUUAAAUCUUUACAAUGUGAUCAGAUGUUACCUGUCAUGUAGUUAUAUAAACCUUUACAGUGUGAUCA
Molecule: long non-coding RNA, 1475 nt
Organism: Paramisgurnus dabryanus
Lineage: Eukaryota; Metazoa; Chordata; Actinopteri; Cypriniformes; Cobitidae
Source: RefSeq, a predicted model, not a curated record